This 526-nucleotide long non-coding RNA is filed under the name Oryza sativa (Asian cultivated rice). RNAcentral describes it as "long non-coding RNA (OSAT_LNC000201)". The record is from RNAcentral. Lineage: Eukaryota; Viridiplantae; Streptophyta; Magnoliopsida; Poales; Poaceae.
CUUGAGGAACAUGACAACAACAACUGUGUUGAUCAAGAUACUGCAUCAACAGAGACAACACCAACUACAGAGAAGGUGAUGCAUCAAGAACAAGUCUCAGAGCAGGUGAAGAUGGCAGAAACAGCAGAAGUGAAACCGGCAGAAGAAACAGAAACCACACCAAUGGUUCAAACAGAAGUGAAACUGGAAGAGGAAACGGAGACCACACCAGUUGCUGAAACAACAGAAGUGAAGCCGGCAGAAGAAACAGAGACCUCAACAGUGGCUGAAACUUUACAGGUGAAACCAGCCGAAGAAACGGAUACCACAUCCAUGGCUGAAACAGCAGAACUGAAGCUGGCAGAAGAAACAGAGACUGCAUCAAUGGCUGAAACAGCAGAAGUGAAACUCGCAGAAGAAACAGAGACCAUACCAAUGGCAGAAACAGCAGAAGUGAAACUAGCAGAAGAAAAAGUCAUGAAGAAAAAUGAGUUUGAACAUGAGGAAGAGAAUUCUAAGGAAGAAUAUGUUAAACCGGUCAAUUCAC